GGAGGGGUUCCCGAGCGGUCAAAGGGGGCAGACUGUAAAUCUGUUGGCUUAGCCUUCGGAGGUUCGAAUCCUCCCCCCUCCACCA
This 85-nucleotide transfer RNA is filed under the name Gammaproteobacteria bacterium. RNAcentral describes it as "tRNA-Tyr". It matches the Rfam family "tRNA". Rfam says of the family: Transfer RNA (tRNA) molecules are approximately 80 nucleotides in length. Their secondary structure includes four short double-helical elements and three loops (D, anti-codon, and T loops). RNAcentral also lists the same sequence under 1 other name. Lineage: Bacteria; Pseudomonadati; Pseudomonadota; Gammaproteobacteria. The record is from RNAcentral.